Molecule: ribosomal RNA, 564 nt
Filed under: Botryosphaeria dothidea
Lineage: Eukaryota; Fungi; Ascomycota; Dothideomycetes; Botryosphaeriales; Botryosphaeriaceae
Description: eukaryotic LSU rRNA
Rfam family: 5.8S ribosomal RNA (bases 190-343)
Source: RNAcentral
AGGAUCAUUACCGAGUUGAUUCGGGCUCCGGCCCGAUCCUCCCACCCUUUGUGUACCUACCUCUGUUGCUUUGGCGGGCCGCGGUCCUCCGCGGCCGCCCCCCUCCCCGGGGGGUGGCCAGCGCCCGCCAGAGGACCAUCAAACUCCAGUCAGUAAACGAUGCAGUCUGAAAAACAUUUAAUAAACUAAAACUUUCAACAACGGAUCUCUUGGUUCUGGCAUCGAUGAAGAACGCAGCGAAAUGCGAUAAGUAAUGUGAAUUGCAGAAUUCAGUGAAUCAUCGAAUCUUUGAACGCACAUUGCGCCCUUUGGUAUUCCGAAGGGCAUGCCUGUUCGAGCGUCAUUACAACCCUCAAGCUCUGCUUGGUAUUGGGCACCGUCCUUUGCGGGCGCGCCUCAAAGACCUCGGCGGUGGCGUCUUGCCUCAAGCGUAGUAGAACAUACAUCUCGCUUCGGAGCGCAGGGCGUCGCCCGCCGGACGAACCUUCUGAACUUUUCUCAAGGUUGACCUCGGAUCAGGUAGGGAUACCCGCUGAACUUAAGCAUAUCAAUAAGCCGGAGGAA